GUCCACGAAACGGCGGACCACAGCCAUACCCCACCCAGGACAAUGGCAGCAGCCGGCCACCAUCUCGUUGUCAUGGCGAGAAGUCCGGUUGC
This 92-nucleotide small RNA is filed under the name Aminobacter aminovorans. RNAcentral describes it as "sRNA Atu_Ti1". It matches the Rfam family "Rhizobiales sRNA Atu_Ti1". The record is from RNAcentral. Lineage: Bacteria; Pseudomonadati; Pseudomonadota; Alphaproteobacteria; Hyphomicrobiales; Phyllobacteriaceae.